UUUAUCGAUGUUAUCAAAAUUUUCUCGUCUGAUUGUAACAUGCUACUGUAUUUAAAAAUAAACCAAAAUGGUAGACUAUUAUUUGCUUUACAAAUUCAUAUAAAUAAUUAGGAACAAGUUGUUCCAAUUAAAUUGAAUUUAAAUCAAUAAGAAGUUAUAUAUUAAUCACUACGCGCCUAGCAUAGUUGUAUUCGAUGCCGGAGACGGAGCCUGAGAAAUGGCUACCCCAUCCAAGGAAAGCAGCAGGCACGCAGAUUACCACUCGCAGAACUCGCAGACUCUUUUGAAACCCGUAAACUGGAAUGAUUAAAUCCUUUAACGAGAAUUAACUGAAGGGAAAGUCUGGUGGCAACAGUCGCUGUAAUUCCAUAGCGUAUAUUAGUUGUUGUUAAGAAGCUUGCAGUUGAAUCUUAGUUCUAGACGGGUGGUUCGCCUACCGCUGGUUGCUGCCUGUUACUUACUGAUGUUCUGUGGUUACUGCCUGUACCGGUGGUUCUGUUACUGCCUGUUCUGUCCUGUUCAAAGUCGCUUUCCUUUGAUGAUCUUCACCCGUUGUUGACAGGCAAGUUCACUUUUAAAAAAUUAGAGUGCUCAUAGCAGAAGUGACGCUUGAAUAAUGUUGCAUAGCAUAGUAAGAAAUUAUAAAUUCCUCUUAUAAUUAAUCAUCACAAAAAUGGCAUAACAAGAACAAGAUCUCAG
This 699-nucleotide non-coding RNA is filed under the name Stegodyphus mimosarum. RNAcentral describes it as "Eukaryotic small subunit ribosomal RNA". It matches the Rfam family "Eukaryotic small subunit ribosomal RNA", at positions 187 to 883 of the family's 1831-position model. The record is from Rfam by way of RNAcentral. Lineage: Eukaryota; Metazoa; Arthropoda; Arachnida; Araneae; Eresidae.